RNAcentral lists this transfer RNA (87 nucleotides) under Acidobacteriota bacterium. RNAcentral's name for it is "tRNA-Leu". It matches the Rfam family "tRNA". From Rfam's summary of the family: Transfer RNA (tRNA) molecules are approximately 80 nucleotides in length. Their secondary structure includes four short double-helical elements and three loops (D, anti-codon, and T loops). Lineage: Bacteria; Pseudomonadati; Acidobacteriota. The record is from RNAcentral.
GCGGAUGUGGCGGAAUUGGUAGACGCGCACGGUUCAGGUCCGUGUGGAGGCAACUCCGUGGAGGUUCGAGUCCUCUCAUCCGCACCA